RNAcentral lists this ribosomal RNA (504 nucleotides) under uncultured bacterium. RNAcentral's name for it is "partial 16S ribosomal RNA". It matches the Rfam family "Bacterial small subunit ribosomal RNA", at positions 30 to 523 of the family's 1533-position model. The record is from RNAcentral.
AUUGAACGCUAGCGGCAUGCCUAACACAUGCAAGUCGAACGGCAGCACGAGGAGCUUGCUCCUUGGUGGCGAGUGGCGGACGGGUGAGUAACGCGUAAGAAUCUGCCUCGUAGUGGGGGACAACCCGGGGAAACUCGGGCUAAUACCGCAUAAUCUCUUCGGAGCAAAGUUGGGGACCUUCGGGCCUAACACUAUGAGAUGAGCCUGCGUUGGAUUAGCUAGUUGGUAGGGUAAAGGCCUACCAAGGCGACGAUCCAUAGCUGGUCUGAGAGGACGACCAGCCACACUGGGACUGAGACACGGCCCAGACUCCUACGGGAGGCAGCAGUGGGGAAUAUUGGACAAUGGGCGAAAGCCUGAUCCAGCAAUGCCGCGUGUGUGAAGAAGGCCUUCGGGUUGUAAAGCACUUUUAGUGGGGAAGAAAAAGACAAGGAUAAUACCCUUGGAAAUUGACGUUACCCACAGAAAAAGCACUGGCUAACUCUGUGCCAGCCGCCGCCGUAA